RNAcentral lists this transfer RNA (69 nucleotides) under Thryssa hamiltonii (Hamilton's thryssa). RNAcentral describes it as "tRNA-His". It matches the Rfam family "tRNA". From Rfam's summary of the family: Transfer RNA (tRNA) molecules are approximately 80 nucleotides in length. Their secondary structure includes four short double-helical elements and three loops (D, anti-codon, and T loops). RNAcentral also lists the same sequence under 1 other name. Lineage: Eukaryota; Metazoa; Chordata; Actinopteri; Clupeiformes; Engraulidae. The record is from RNAcentral.
GCAAGCGUAGUUUACUAAAAACGUUGGAUUGUGAUUCCAAAAAAGAGGGUUAAACUCCCCCCGCCUGCC